RNAcentral lists this ribosomal RNA (387 nucleotides) under Dolosigranulum pigrum. Its description in RNAcentral is "bacterial LSU rRNA". It matches the Rfam family "Bacterial large subunit ribosomal RNA", at positions 1016 to 1405 of the family's 2925-position model. Lineage: Bacteria; Bacillati; Bacillota; Bacilli; Lactobacillales; Carnobacteriaceae. The record is from RNAcentral.
AGGGAAACAACCCAGACCGUCGGCUAAGGUCCCCAAAUCCUUGUUAAGUGGAAAAGGAUGUGGGGCUGCUUAGACAACUAGGAUGUUGGCUUAGAAGCAGCCAUCAUUUAAAGAGUGCGUAAUAGCUCACUAGUCGAGUGGCCCUGCGCCGAAAAUUUACCGGGGCUAAACAAGGUACCGAAGCCACGGAUAGAACCUUUGGUUCUAUGGUAGGAGAGCGUUCUAAUCAGCAUAGAAGCCUGACUGUGAAGACAGGUGGAGCGAUUAGAAGUGAGAAUGCCGGUAUGAGUAGCGAAAGACAGGUGAGAAUCCUGUCCACCGAAUGACUAAGGUUUCCUGGGGAAGGCUCGUCCUCCCAGGGUUAGUCGGGACCUAAGCUGAGGCCGA